GACGAACGCUGGCGGCGUGCUUAACACAUGCAAGUCGAACGGAAAGGCCCUGCUUUUGUGGGGUGCUCGAGUGGCGAACGGGUGAGUAACACGUGAGUAACCUGCCCUUGACUUUGGGAUAACUUCAGGAAACUGGGGCUAAUACCGGAUAGGAGCUCCUGCUGCAUGGUGGGGGUUGGAAAGUUUCGGCGGUUGGGGAUGGAUUCGCGGCUUAUCAGCUUGUUGGUGGGGUAGUGGCUUACCAAGGCUUUGACGGGUAGCCGGCCUGAGAAGGUGACCGGCCACAUUGGGACUGCGAUACGGCGCAGACUCCUACGGGAGGCAGCAGUGGGGAAUAUUGCACAAUGGGCGGAAGCCUGAUGCAGCAACGCCGCGUGCGGGAUGACGGCCUUCGGGUUGUAAACCGCUUUCGCCUGUGACGAAGCGUGAGUGACGGUAAUGGGUAAAGAAGCACCGGCUAACUACGUG
RNAcentral lists this ribosomal RNA (468 nucleotides) under uncultured bacterium. RNAcentral's name for it is "partial 16S ribosomal RNA". It matches the Rfam family "Bacterial small subunit ribosomal RNA", at positions 28 to 507 of the family's 1533-position model. The record is from RNAcentral.